UACGUAGGCAGCGGGCGUUGUUCGGAGUUACUGGGCGUAAAGGGUGUGUAGGCGGUUGUUUAAGUUUGGUGUGAAAUCUCCCGGCUCAACUGGGAGGGUGCGCCGAAUACUGAGCGACUAGAGUGCGGGAGAGGAAAGUGGAAUUCCUGGUGUAGCGGUGAAAUGCGUAGAUAUCAGGAGGAACACCGGUGGUGUAGACGGCUUUCUGGACCGUAACUGACGCUGAGACACGAAAGCGUGGGUAGCAAACAGG
This 253-nucleotide ribosomal RNA is filed under the name uncultured bacterium. RNAcentral's name for it is "partial 16S ribosomal RNA". It matches the Rfam family "Bacterial small subunit ribosomal RNA", at positions 524 to 776 of the family's 1533-position model. The record is from RNAcentral.